UCAACACCACAGAUUGGAGUUAUUCAUGGU
This 30-nucleotide non-coding RNA is filed under the name Mus musculus (house mouse). Lineage: Eukaryota; Metazoa; Chordata; Mammalia; Rodentia; Muridae. The record is from RNAcentral.